RNAcentral lists this small RNA (577 nucleotides) under Pongo abelii (Sumatran orangutan). RNAcentral describes it as "processed transcript". Lineage: Eukaryota; Metazoa; Chordata; Mammalia; Primates; Hominidae. The record is from RNAcentral.
AGAUGAAGCCUUUACAUAAGGCAACAUUUUUUAUGAUUUAUAACGUAAGGCAACAUUAUAUGAUUUAUAAUGUAAGGCAACAUUUUUUAUGAUUUAUAUCCCCAUUUGCUUUCCAAAGGGAUCCAAGGUAGCUUAUGAUAUUAACAGGUUACAGAUUGUAUUAUUUCUAAGUUGUACAAGGAGUGAGAAAGUAAUGUUCAGAAGCUUAGGAGAGGCGGGUGAAGGUGCUUCCUGGCAGGUUUGGGGUUUGAAUUUUGACCAGACAGUCACUUUUCUUGACUCUCCUGCCCUACGCUGGCCUAUGUGACUUACCAGGAUAUCCGUGCUGUCGGCAACUUUAAGGAGCAGACAGUGAUUGCCGUCAAGGCCCCUCCGCAGACGAGACUGGAAGUGCCUGACAGGACUGAGGACAACCUGCAGAUAUAUCUCAAGAGCACCCAAGGGCCCAUCGAAGUCUACCUGUGCCCAGAGGAGGUACAGGAGCUGGACAGUCCUUCCGAGGAGCCUCUCCCCUCUACCUCCACCCUCUGCCCCAGCCCUGACUCUGCCCAGCCCAGCAGCAGCACCGACCCUAGCA